ACUCCUACGGGAGGCAGCAGUGGGAAUAUUGCACAAUGGGCGCAAGCCUGAUGCAGCCAUGCCGCGUGUGUGAAGAAGGCCUUCGGGUUGUAAAGCACUUUCAGUAGGGAGGAAGGUGGUAGUGUUAAUNGCGCUAUCAUUUGACGUUACCUACAGAAGAAGCACCGGCUAACUCCGUGCCAGCAGCCGCGGUAAUACGGAGGGUGCGAGCGUUAANCGGAAUUACUGGGCGUAAAGCGCAUGCAGGUGGUUUGUUAAGUCAGAUGUGAAA
This 271-nucleotide ribosomal RNA is filed under the name uncultured bacterium. RNAcentral describes it as "partial 16S ribosomal RNA". It matches the Rfam family "Bacterial small subunit ribosomal RNA", at positions 335 to 599 of the family's 1533-position model. The record is from RNAcentral.